AUUUCCUAAAGAUAUAAUUAUUGUUGUUUGAUUCAAUUCAAAUUGUUAAAGUUGAUCAUGAUUUAUGUUGGUAAACUUUUAUUUUACAUUGUAGCUUCCAAAUUACUUUGUUCUGUCAGGAAGUUUGAAGUAUAUUUGUAUACUUAUAAACAAUAACCAGUUUUAAGAGAAGAUGUUUUUAAUUCAGAAUAUAGUGGAACUAAUAAUCAAGAUGGAUAUCAUGUUCCAAACAAGUAACUUGCUAUGUUUUCUUUUCAAUGGAUUCAAGUGAGUUUUGUAAGAGCAAUUUGAUGAUCUUGUUACGAAAAUCAGAUAUGAUAAUAAAGUUUGUUCAACUUAAUGAUUAAAUCUUUCCUAUUUAUUUAAUGGGUUGGGUUGAGAUUUAUAAAUUGUAUUUAUAUUUCUUAAGUUAGUUUAUGAAAUCAAAUUAUCAUAAGCCAUGUUGUUUAACAGUAUCCUUUGUAAAUUAGAAUGAGGUUAAUUGGAGUUAGAGAUUGAUAUAGUGAAUUGGAUUAGUAGAAUGGUUUGUAAAUAAGGAGUUGUGGGUAGUUCAUGAAAGAGGUUAGAAGGUAUAAGAAAGUUAAUUGGAGUUAGAGAUUGAUAUAGUGAAUUGGAUUAGUAGAAUGGUUUGUAAAUAAGGAGUUGUGGGUAGUUCAUGAAAGAGGUUAGAAGGUAUGAGAAAGUUAAUUUCUUUAUCUAAUUGGUAGUAAGGAUGUUGAUUGUUGUUCAUAUUGUUGUGAGGUGAUUGUUGGAGAUUGAUAAAGAAUUUGGAAAUGUUGGAACCUUGAAGAUUAUAAUGGAAUCGAGCGUUCUUUGGGGAAAUGAAGGAGAGUUCUUUGUUAGUGAUCUUGCAGGUUCGUAUGUGGAAAGCUCGAAAUGGAGUAAAAGGAAGAACUUAAGUAUCAAGGUUAUAAUGAGAUGUAAGGGUUCCGAGGUGUUGUAUUUGGGAUUAUUUAUCCUUAUUUAUGAAUAAAUUAUUAUAUUGCUUUAGAAGUCGAGCAAGGUAUUAUUGUAAUAUGUUAUUGGUUAUUGAGGAUGUUGUGUGGCCCUGACCCACAGGUCCAGGAUCGUGUAUUGAAGGUUUUAUUCCGCUGCGAGUAAAUAAUUAAUUCGAGGCUAUUAAGUGUUAAUUGA
Beta vulgaris subsp. vulgaris (sugar beet) is the source of this 1134-nucleotide long non-coding RNA. RefSeq lists it as uncharacterized. The transcript has 3 exons. The record is from RefSeq and is a predicted model, not a curated record. NCBI's taxonomy places the organism in Eukaryota, Viridiplantae, Streptophyta, Magnoliopsida, Caryophyllales, Amaranthaceae.